This 497-nucleotide ribosomal RNA is filed under the name uncultured bacterium. Its description in RNAcentral is "partial 16S ribosomal RNA". It matches the Rfam family "Bacterial small subunit ribosomal RNA", at positions 28 to 507 of the family's 1533-position model. The record is from RNAcentral.
GAUGAACGCUGGCGGCGUGCCUAAUACAUGCAAGUCGAGCGAACAGACGAGGAGCUUGCUCCUCUGACGUUAGCGGCGGACGGGUGAGUAACACGUGGAUAACCUACCUAUAAGACUGGGAUAACUUCGGGAAACCGGAGCUAAUACCGGAUAAUAUAUUGAACCGCAUGGUUCAAUAGUGAAAGACGGUUUUGCUGUCACUUAUAGAUGGAUCCGCGCCGCUUUAGCUAGUUGGUAAGGUAACGGCUUACCAAGGCGACGAUGCUUAGCCGACCUGAGAGGGUGAUCGGCCACACUGGAACUGAGACACGGUCCAGACUCCUACGGGAGGCAGCAGUAGGGAAUCUUCCGCAAUGGGCGAAAGCCUGACGGAGCAACGCCGCGUGAGUGAUGAAGGUCUUCGGAUCGUAAAACUCUGUUAUUAGGGAAGAACAAAUGUGUAAGUAACUAUGCACGUCUUGACGGUACCUAAUCAGAAAGCCACGGCUAACUACGUG